ACAAGGAAUGUGCAGUAAGAGCACAAGUGUGAAGCAGAUACCUCACUAACUUCUAUGCUGGUAUCCACCUCAUAACCUCCACCGGAUCAAGAACUGGAGUGUUUCCAGCUUCCCAGAAAGCUCCCUAAUGCCUCCUCCUGGGCACCGAGGCCCAGGAAUCGCCCUUUUGCUGACUGUCAUCACCGUCGACUAGGUUCGUCUGGAAUCAUAGAGCAGUCUUCAAUUCUGGCUUCAUUCACUCACCCUUAUGUCUGCUGGACUCGUCCACGUUGCGUGUAGCUAUAGGACAAACAGGCUUUUAAUAAAUGUCUCGUGUGAACCCAGUUCUGGCAAAGGCUUCUUGUUACCUAGCACACACUGUCUCCCCUUCUUUCCUCCAGCAGAACUCCGAUUUAUAUAGGCUGGGAAUGUGCAUGCCUAAUGGCUCCCGGGUGACUACAUUUCCCAGGCUGCCCUGCAGCCAAGGGUAGCCAACGAGACGUCAGAGGAAGCCACUCAGAAGGGCUUCCUUGAAGCUCUUUACAGGGGAUUGAGUCAACCCGGAGGCCUCCUCCACCUCCCUUCUCGUGCCUGGUAUGGAUGUGAUUGGAGCUCCAGCAGCCAUCUUGGGCCAUGAGGAGACUUGAGAAUAGGGCCACCUGAUAAGGAUUGUGGAGCAGAGAGCUAACAGAGCCUGGAUCCCUAAUGACAUCCUGGAGCCUCCGUGCGCACCCUGGACUGCCUUCCUCGUGGCUGUGGCCUUUGCACAUGAUGUUCCCCUGGCAGGAGCGUGCUUUACAGCACCUGCCUGGUUUCUCCUCGCUGCAAGCUCCGUCUCUUCAAAGAGGCCUUCCCUGAGUACCCAAUCUAGGAAUCCGGAAAAGUGGAGGUGGUAUUUGCAACCACUUCUCGGCAGAAUCGCAGAAGUGACUGUGAUCUGCCUACGCUGGCUCAGUGAGGGGAUGACAGCUGGAACGCCAGCCCCGGCCUCUGGAUUUUGGUCCACCAACCUCGCUGCCACACUGACUGCCCUGCCACCGUCAGCCAGAGUGAUGCCGGGUGUGGGACCGUGUGGCCCCGGCUCCAGAGUGCCACGCACCGGGGCAUUCUCUCCAUCCAGUUGCGGUCGGUCCCUGGAUCCCUACACCUCCUCCACAUUGGAGGAGCAAAGAGCCAAGGCUGCCCCAGGCUUCUCGGACCCAUGACUGCUCUGCUCUGGCACGCUGCCGUGGUCACACAGCUCCCCCCCCCAAAUGUGGGCAGUGGUCAGGCCCCAUCUCCCCCACCCGACUCUGGGCAGUAAAACACUGGCUCAAGAGUGGGGUAGCACUGCCUUCCACACCGGACGGGAGCGGGCACACCCACUGCUCCCGAGCCCGGCAGCCUGCUGGCGAACUCAGCCCCAGGGGACCGCGUGGGCUUGAGCCUCCCCCACCCUACCUCCCACUUAGCGAGCCUCACCUGGCUUUCUGGCUUCCGCCCAAAUCCCUGGUUCCUGCUGGGAGCGGCCACCUGUUCAAAGCCCUGGCUCAGCUGAACCCAGUGACCAGCAGUGCCCCAAGCAUAAAGGAGCAGACGCUCAGGGCUCAGACCUCAGCUCUGCUACUUGCUGGUUGUGUGACCCCGGGCAUUGUAGUGAACCUCUCUGAGCCUCAUGCCUAAAAUGGACAGGAUAAAACCCACCACAAAAAAAAGUGGUUAGAAGGAUCCAGAGUAAACUUUCACCUCGGAUGAUGUAUCCGGUGGCCGCGGGUUGCUCCAGAUAAUGCAGGUUGGCCCUCAGUGUCACACUCUCCCCUCCUGCCGCCUUCCCCAGGACUAUCCCUGCAAACUACAUUUCCCAGACUCCCUUGCCUGCUGGCUUCCCAUGAGGUUCAGCCCAUAGGAAGUACUUGCAGGAGACUGGAAGGCAGGGAAGAGGGAGAAAGCCUUUGUCUGCUGCCAUCCAGUGCCUCCAGCAGCGGCGGGGCUGUGCGCCGGGGCAGCCGGGGCCCGGGGGUUGCAGCAGGUCAGAGGCGGUCCCAGCACAUCUGCAGAAGAGCAGCUCCAGGUGCCCACUGGGGGGCUGCGCCCGGCAGGGCAGCUGGGCUGCACAGGGCUGAGGGCCUCAGCCCCCGCACGGGAGCAGCCCCCGGUGGAAGGAAAAAUCAGGGCAUGAGCUUGCACAAAGCUGAACACCUACACACGCUCCAUUCAGUCACGUCCCCGCUGCAGAAACAAGUGGACAGGGGGCAGGGAGCCAAGGACUUGCCCGAUACCCCAUGUUUGAGAGAGCGGAGCCUGACCCUGGACCCCGUUCUCAGCCUCGGCGUCUGGUCCUGCCACACUCACUGGGGUGGGCAGCUUCCUGCGCUGCGAGGUCGCUUGCAGGCUCAUGCCUGAGGCCCUGUGCGACGGCGAUCUUGAGCAGCGAGGUGGGGGGGUCAUCGGGCGCCCAGGUCCACCAGCUCCCCCCUCCGCGGGGACCUCUCUCAGCUGCAGCGCGGAGCUGGCUCCUCCAGGUGCCAGGUGGAAUCCCGACAUCCCCCGCCUGCCUGCACCUGGCACGCAGAGCCUGACGACAGAUGCCCGGCACCUUGUUCUUGGCGGGAGUGACGGAUUUGCGGGUCCCCUUCCAGGAGCCCCGCUCGCGCCCCGGGUACACGCUGUGUCAGCCCAUCCUGAGCUAGUGAAAAUAAACAGUGCCAUUAUCCCUCCGCUGACUGCCACGCGGUCUAUUUACACCACUUAGGACGCGGGAUAAAUGGCUUCUCAGUUUCAUAAUGAAAGGAAUAUUUCACUUUGCAGAGCUGAGGAACUGUUUAUUGGGCAUACAAACAAUGUUUAUACUGUUUUGAUAAUAAACUGAUCUGGAAGUUGGUUCAUUUAGGCGAUGGCUUGCCUCUGAUGUGGUUGUCUCUGCUGAGGUUGGCGUGGGUCGGGGGGAACAGGGGUGCAUGGGGCCUGUGGUCUGGGGAUGCUCAGGGCCCUCAAAUGCCCUUCCCAUUGGUGGUGUCAACUCACCGAGUCCUCACAGUGCUCUCUGAAGUGGCUGCCAUUAUAUCCCAAUUCACAGGUGGGGAAACCAAGGCACAGAGAAGCAGAGCAGCUUUCCCAGGUCACAGAGCCAGUGUUGGAUGG
Non-coding RNA from Vicugna pacos (alpaca), 3099 nucleotides. NCBI's taxonomy places the organism in Eukaryota, Metazoa, Chordata, Mammalia, Artiodactyla, Camelidae. The record is from RefSeq and is a predicted model, not a curated record.